AUUGAACGCUGGCGGCAGGCCUAACACAUGCAAGUCGAGCGGAUGAAGGGAGCUUGCUCCUGGAUUCAGCGGCGGACGGGUGUGUAAUGCCUAGGAAUCUGCCUGGUAGUGGGGGAUAACGUCCGGAAACGGGCGCUAAUACCGCCUACGUCCUGCGGGAGCAAGUGGGGGAUCUUCGGACCUCUCGCUCUCAGAUGAGCCUAGGUCGGAUUAGCUAGUUGGUGGGGUAAGGGCCUACCAAGGCGACGAUCCGUAACUGGUCUGAGAGGAUGAUCAGUCACACUGGAAGUGAGACACGGUCCAGGCUCCUGCGGGAGGCAGCAGUGGGGAAUAUUAGACAAUGGGGGAAAGCCUGAUCCAGCCAUGCCGCGUGUGUGAAGAAGGUCUUCGGAUUGGAAAGCACUUUAAGUUGGGAGGAAGGGCAGUAAGUUAAUACCUUGCUGUUUUGACGUUACCAACAGAAUAAGCACCGGCUAACUUCGUG
This 484-nucleotide ribosomal RNA is filed under the name uncultured bacterium. RNAcentral's name for it is "partial 16S ribosomal RNA". It matches the Rfam family "Bacterial small subunit ribosomal RNA", at positions 30 to 507 of the family's 1533-position model. The record is from RNAcentral.